Molecule: ribosomal RNA, 497 nt
Filed under: uncultured bacterium
Lineage: Bacteria
Description: partial 16S ribosomal RNA
Rfam family: Bacterial small subunit ribosomal RNA
Source: RNAcentral
GACGAACGCUGGCGGCGUGCCUAAUACAUGCAAGUUGAGCGCUGAAGGUUGGUACUUGUACCAACUGGAUGAGCAGCGCACGGGUGAGUAACGCGUGUGGCAUCUGCCUUUGAUCGGGGGACAACAUUUGGAAACGAAUGCUAAUACCGCAUAAAAACUUUAAACACAAGUUUUAAGUUUGAAAGAUGCAAUUGCAUCACUCAAAGAUGAUCUCGCGUUGUAUUAGCUAGUUGGUGAGGUAAAGGCUCACCAAGGCGAGGAUACAUAGCCGACCUGAGAGGGUGAUCGGCCACAUUGGGACGGAGACACGCCACAAACUCAUACGGGAGGCAGCAGUAGGGAAUCUUCGGCAAUGGACGAAAGUCUGACCGAGCAACGCCGCGUGAGUGAAGAAGGUUGUCGGAUCGUAAAACUCUGUUGGUAGAGAAGAACGUUGGUGAGAGUGGAAAGCUCAUCAAGUGACGGUAACUACCCAGAAAGGGACGGCUAACUACGUG